GAGGGACCUGUCCAAGGUCACAUAGCUAGCAAAUAUCUGAAGCUAGUUUUUUUUUUAAGAAGAGGGUUUUUCCGGUUUCCAAAUUUGGUUUUUUUCCCAUGGACCCCCCUGGUGGCAGGGGUUUAAUUCGGGGGUUUUACCUCUAAUUAACUAAAAGGCCUUUAGGUUUUUUCCCGGCCCCCCCCCCCCCCCCCAGCUUUAGUUCCACAUCAUCAGUUACCGAUUGGAUAACUUGAAACUGGAUGUCUUAGAGUUACGCUCUGCCUGUCCAAAAUUAGACUCAUCAUUUCCCCCUAAAGCAAUAAUGGGCAACCUUUUGAGCUUGGUGUGUCAAAUUUUGCCAGAAAACUGAGCAUAACUCAGCUGUAUAAAAAAUGGAGACUUGAAUCCAGGACUUCAAUCCCCAGGAGUCCUUGCUCCACUUCCCCAGAAUGCUUUGUAAUCUCACUGAAUUCUCACCUGGGCCGAGAGCAAAUCAUUAUUUAAAGGGUCUCCGCCAUAGGCGGGGUCUCUUCUCUUCCUGUCUCCGUUGGCAAACAGACGAGUCUCAUGAUGCCCAGAGUUCCAUCCACUGCACUACCAGAUACCUCUAAGAACACUGGAUUGAGGAGCCCCAGGAAGGGUCCUUGGAGGUCAUUUAGCUCAAGACCUUCUGAGAUCCUUAUGGACUAUGUAAUGGCCUCAGUUUCUAUGAAUUGGACAUCACACCUCUAGGACAUUUGGAAUGAUCUUUUGAGUGAGAACCUUUCAGGAACUUGAAGAACCUCUUCUCCAGAUCGCAGGUUCUUAACUGAAGAUUCAUGAACUUGUUUUAAAAAAUAAUUUGAUAAAUAUUUUCAUCAGUUUUCUUAGCA
Molecule: long non-coding RNA, 854 nt
Filed under: Monodelphis domestica (gray short-tailed opossum)
Lineage: Eukaryota; Metazoa; Chordata; Mammalia; Didelphimorphia; Didelphidae
Description: lncRNA (ENSMODG00000041616.1)
Source: RNAcentral